GACGAACGCUGGCGGCGUGCUUAACACAUGCAAGUCGAACGAAGAGCGAUGGAAGCUUGCUUCUAUCAAUCUUAGUGGCGAACGGGUGAGUAACGCGUAAUCAACCUGCCCUUCAGAGGGGGACAACAGUUGGAAACGACUGCUAAUACCGCAUACGAUCUAAUCUCGGCAUCGAGGAUAGAUGAAAGGUGGCCUCUACAUGUAAGCUAUCACUGAAGGAGGGGAUUGCGUCUGAUUAGCUAGUUGGAGGGGUAACGGCCCACCAAGGCGAUGAUCAGUAGCCGGUCUGAGAGGAUGAACGGCCACAUUGGGACUGAGACACGGCCCAGACUCCUACGGGAGGCAGCAGCGGGGAAUCUUCCGCAAUGGACGAAAGUCUGACGGAGCAACGCCGCGUGAGCGAUGACGGCCUUCGGGUUGUAAAGCUCUGUUAAUCGGGACGAAAGGCCUUCUUGCGAAUAGUGAGAAGGAUUGACGGUACCGGAAUAGAAAGCCACGGCUAACUACGUG
This 510-nucleotide ribosomal RNA is filed under the name uncultured bacterium. RNAcentral describes it as "partial 16S ribosomal RNA". It matches the Rfam family "Bacterial small subunit ribosomal RNA", at positions 28 to 507 of the family's 1533-position model. The record is from RNAcentral.